Molecule: non-coding RNA, 167 nt
Organism: Myotis brandtii (Brandt's bat)
Lineage: Eukaryota; Metazoa; Chordata; Mammalia; Chiroptera; Vespertilionidae
Source: Rfam
UGUCCCGUGGCUCCAGCCCCGCUCAGCCCAAGGCUCGGGGAAACGAAGCAGCUCAAUAAAAACUUUGGAUAUUAGUUUUUAUGGGUAUUUGCACUCUGGUCCGAGGAGCUGAGUACGGAAGCCCCGUUAAUCAGCCCCACAACCUCGCGUUUGGAUGCUCAGUUUAU